CAACUUUCAGCAACGGAUCUCUUGGCUCUCGCAUCGAUGAAGAACGCAGCGAAAUGCGAUAAGUAAUGUGAAUUGCAGAAUUCAGUGAAUCAUCGAAUCUUUGAACGCACCUUGCGCCCUUUGGUAUUCCGAAGGGCAUGCCUGUUUGAGUGUCUUUA
This 158-nucleotide ribosomal RNA is filed under the name Hohenbuehelia tylospora. Its description in RNAcentral is "5.8S ribosomal RNA". It matches the Rfam family "5.8S ribosomal RNA". From Rfam's summary of the family: 5.8S ribosomal RNA (5.8S rRNA) is a component of the large subunit of the eukaryotic ribosome. It is transcribed by RNA polymerase I as part of the 45S precursor that also contains 18S and 28S rRNA. Functionally, it is thought that 5.8S rRNA may be involved in ribosome translocation. Lineage: Eukaryota; Fungi; Basidiomycota; Agaricomycetes; Agaricales; Pleurotaceae. The record is from RNAcentral.